GAAGCUUGAUGGUUGCCUAAACGCAUGCUCUUCAGUUCUGAUAUUUGAGAAAUCAAAUAAGCUUGUGGUGGCAAAGUCUUUUUCAAGAAUUUUCUACGGUUCUUUUCAUUUUUUUUCGUUUUCUUUAUUUUGCUAUAUCUAUCCAUAUGUAAUUGUCUGAUGUGCAGGGUAUGAGUGAGAUCAGCCCGACAGAAAAAAUAAAUAAAUAAAUUACAGUGAACAGAAGAAAUUACUUUUUAAAAACAAUGUAGUUUUAUAUAGGGAAAUAGCUCAAAAUACCACCCAUUUUAUAAUUUUUUGUCAAAAUACCACCCCUUCCCAAAAUUUUUAAAACUACGACCUAUAAAUACAUUUUUAUUGUAAAUUGAUUGCACCCAUAUCACAUUUUCAGAAAACCUGAGGGGAACUACGGGUUUAGAAUGACUUCGCCUCCGCCUCUUUUCUCGUUCGAUCGUCUACGGCCUCCGCUUCCUUUCUCCUUCGUUCUUCUACGCCCCUGCCUCCGCCUCUGCUUUUUCGAUUGUCUGCCUUCCUCCUCCUCCUCUGCUUUUUCGAUUGUCUACCUUCCUCCUCCUCCUCCUACUUGGCUCUUCUCCUCAGCUAUCAGCUAUUUCAUACCCAGAAGUGUUGGAUCCUGAGCAAGCAGUGAAAGGGCUAUCUGGUGUGAAUUGGAAUAAAUAAAAAAAAUUUGCUGGGUUUUUGAGACUUGUGAUGUUAUUCAUCAGUAUUCAUGCCUGGUUUCUUCUUGUAAUAAUUUUGUUGAUUGUGAGCUUUUCCCUCUAGCGCUUGUUGCUGAUACUGAUUGUGAAGGUGAAUUGGUUGUGCUUUAUGAUGUUUGAAGCAUUUGAGAAUCUAUUUGGUGUUAAUAUGGGGAUGAAUGGAUGGUGUUCAUCGAAGGCAAAAGAUAGUCCCUCUCUGUCCCAUAAUUUUUCACCCUCUUCAGCUGAUGGACUUACAAAUUUCUAUAGAAAUCUUAUUUUUCAAAGAAA
Prunus persica (peach) is the source of this 989-nucleotide long non-coding RNA. RefSeq lists it as uncharacterized. The transcript has 2 exons. Lineage: Eukaryota; Viridiplantae; Streptophyta; Magnoliopsida; Rosales; Rosaceae. The record is from RefSeq and is a predicted model, not a curated record.